RNAcentral lists this ribosomal RNA (548 nucleotides) under Echinoplaca diffluens. RNAcentral describes it as "LSU rRNA". It matches the Rfam family "Eukaryotic large subunit ribosomal RNA", at positions 78 to 635 of the family's 3401-position model. The record is from RNAcentral. Lineage: Eukaryota; Fungi; Ascomycota; Lecanoromycetes; Ostropales; Graphidaceae.
CCCUANUAACGGCGAGUGAANCGGCAAAAGCUCAGAUUUGAAAUCUCUUUGAUUAAUCAAGGCGAAUUGUAAUCUGUAGAAGGUUGAAUGGCUGCAUUUAUUGAUUUAAAUUCCUUGGAAUAGGAUAUCAUAGAGGGUGAGAAUCCCGUGAUUAAUUAAUUAAAUAAAGCCAAUUAAUUCACCUUUCGACGAGUCGAGUUGUUUGGGAAUGCAGCUCUAAAUGGGUGGUAAAUUUCAUCUAAAGCUAAAUACCUGCCAGAGACCGAUAGCGAACAAGUAGAGUGAUCGAAAGAUGAAAAGCACUUUGAAAAGAGAGUUAAAAAGUACGUGAAAUUGUUGAAAGGGAAGCGCUUGCGAUUAGACUUGAUAAUUAAAUUCAAUUAACCUACGGGUUCAAUUUAUUUUUUAUUUAUCAGGCCAGCAUCAGUUUGGUGGGAUUUAUAAAAUUAAAUGGAAUGUAGUAAUUCUUCGGUAAUUAUGUUAUAGCCAUUUAAAUAAUUAAAUUCACUCAGACUGAGGUCUGCUCUCGGAAAGGAUGCUGGCAUAAU